Poecilia latipinna (sailfin molly) is the source of this 395-nucleotide long non-coding RNA. RefSeq lists it as uncharacterized. The transcript has 3 exons. NCBI's taxonomy places the organism in Eukaryota, Metazoa, Chordata, Actinopteri, Cyprinodontiformes, Poeciliidae. The record is from RefSeq and is a predicted model, not a curated record.
UUAUUAUGUUUGAUGAUUCAGGAUUUCCUGAGGAUUGUUUGAGGUCCAGUGACGGAGAGAACCCAACCCAGACAGAUGAACUGAACAAUCUGGACCCGCAGGACCCACUGGAUCUCCAGGAUCCCGUAGAUCCUGUGGACCCUUCCGACCUUCAGGAUCCUCUGGACCCUGUGGAUCCACAAGAUCCACUGGAACUUGAGACCAAUGAGAUCCAGUAAGACCAUUCAGCGCCAGAUGCCCUCUAGGAUCACCAAUAUUCAAACAUCAGUUCUGGGAUGACGGCCUAUACCCAGAGAGACUCAUUUGUUUCCAUCAUAAAGAAACAAAACAAGCCAACACAGAACUCAGACACACCUGUUUAUAUUCCUCAGUCAUUCACUCUGCACUUCUUCCAU